This 253-nucleotide ribosomal RNA is filed under the name uncultured bacterium. RNAcentral describes it as "partial 16S ribosomal RNA". It matches the Rfam family "Bacterial small subunit ribosomal RNA", at positions 524 to 776 of the family's 1533-position model. The record is from RNAcentral.
UACGGAGGGUGCAAGCGUUAAUCGGAAUUACUGGGCGUAAAGCGCGCGUAGGCGGCUGGGUAAGUCGAUUGUGAAAUCCCCGGGCUCAACCUGGGAAUUGCAGUCGAGACUGCCCGGCUAGAGUGUGGGAGAGGGUGGUGGAAUUCCUGGUGUAGCGGUGAAAUGCGUAGAUAUCAGGAGGAACACCGGUGGUGUAGACGGCUCUCUGGACCGUAACUGACGCUGAGACACGAAAGCGUGGGUAGCAAACAGG